CAUAUUAUGUUGAUAAAUAAGUGUUAUGUUUCAAAUUAUGUGAAUAAAUUAAUAAAAAAAAAUUAUAUUAUAUAUGUUAACAUAUUAAUAAUAUAAAAUAUAAUACUUUAAAAUGAUUUGCAGUGUACUUGUUUAUUUGUAUGUUACAUAUAAAUUGAUUUCUGUAUUCACUAGAAUUGAUUUGAUUUAUUACACGUAAUCUUCGCAUGGUCAAUUAAUAUUAUUCUAAUAUUACAAUUAUAUCAUACAAUAAGAAGGUUAAUACUUUUUUUUUUCUAAUGUGUUUUUAUUUUAUAGUGCAGAUGAU
RNAcentral lists this long non-coding RNA (307 nucleotides) under Ananas comosus (pineapple). RNAcentral describes it as "long non-coding RNA (ACOM_LNC008307)". Lineage: Eukaryota; Viridiplantae; Streptophyta; Magnoliopsida; Poales; Bromeliaceae. The record is from RNAcentral.